GACGAACGCUGGCGGCGUGCUUAACACAUGCAAGUCGAACGAAGUGGCGAACGGGUGAGUAAGGGGUAAUCAACCUGCCCUUCAGAGGGGGACAACAGUUGGAAACGACUGCUAAUAACGCAUACUGAAGGUGGGGAUUGCGUCUGUUUAGCUAGUUGGAGGGGUAACGGCCCACUAGGGCGAUGAUCAGUAGCCGGUCUGAGAGGAGGAAGGGCAACAGUGGGACUGAGAUACUGUCCAGACACCUAGGGGCGGCCGCAGGGGGGAAUCUUCCGCGAUGGACGGAAGUCUGAAGGAGCAACGCCGCGUGGGUGAUGACGGGCUUCGGGUUGGAAAGCUUUGUUAGUCGGGACGCGGUACCGGAGUAGAAAGCACCGGCUAACUACGUGCCAGCAGCCGCGGUAAUAC
RNAcentral lists this ribosomal RNA (408 nucleotides) under uncultured bacterium. RNAcentral describes it as "partial 16S ribosomal RNA". It matches the Rfam family "Bacterial small subunit ribosomal RNA", at positions 28 to 526 of the family's 1533-position model. The record is from RNAcentral.